UUGAACGCUGGCGGCCUGCUUUACACAUGCAAGUCGAACGGCAGCGCGGGCUUCGGCCUGGCGGCGAGUGGCGAACGGGUGAGUAAUGCAUCGGAACGUGCCCAGUAGUGGGGGAUAGCCCGGCGAAAGCCGGAUUAAUACCGCAUACGACCUGAGGGUGAAAGCGGGGGACCGAAAGGCCUCGCGCUAUUGGAGCGGCCGAUGUCGGAUUAGCUAGUUGGUGGGGUAAAGGCUUACCAAGGCGACGAUCCGUAGCUGGUCUGAGAGGACGACCAGCCACACUGGGACUGAGACACGGCCCAGACUCCUACGGGAGGCAGCAGUGGGGAAUUUUGGACAAUGGGGGCAACCCUGACCCAGCCAUGCCGCGUGCGGGAAGAAGGCCUUCGGGUUGUAAACCGCUUUUGUUCGGGAAGAAAUCCUCUGGGCUAAUACCCCGGGGGGAUGACGGUACCGGAAGAAUAAGCACCGGCUAACUACGUG
RNAcentral lists this ribosomal RNA (483 nucleotides) under uncultured bacterium. RNAcentral describes it as "partial 16S ribosomal RNA". It matches the Rfam family "Bacterial small subunit ribosomal RNA", at positions 29 to 507 of the family's 1533-position model. The record is from RNAcentral.